UACGAAGGGUGCAAACGUUGCUCGGAAUCAUUGGGCGUAAAGCGCACGUAGGCGGCUUCGCAAGUCGGAUGUGAAAUCCCUAGGCUCAACCAAGGACGUGCAUCUGAAACUGCAGAGCUUGAGUACAGGAGAGGAUCGCGGAAUUCCCGGUGUAGAGGUGAAAUUCGUAGAUAUCGGGAGGAACACCAGUGGCGAAGGCGGCGAUCUGGGCUGAUACUGACGCUGAGGUGCGAAAGCGUGGGGAGCAAACAGG
RNAcentral lists this ribosomal RNA (253 nucleotides) under uncultured bacterium. RNAcentral's name for it is "partial 16S ribosomal RNA". It matches the Rfam family "Bacterial small subunit ribosomal RNA", at positions 524 to 776 of the family's 1533-position model. The record is from RNAcentral.